Molecule: unclassified non-coding RNA, 329 nt
Filed under: soil metagenome
Description: partial contains 5.8S ribosomal RNA, internal transcribed spacer 2, and large subunit ribosomal RNA
Rfam family: 5.8S ribosomal RNA (bases 1-120)
Source: RNAcentral
GAUGAAGAACGCAGCGAAAUGCGAUAAGUAGUGUGAAUUGCAGAAUUCAGUGAAUCAUCGAAUCUUUGAACGCACAUUGCGCCCCUUGGUAUCCCAAGGGGCAUGCCUGUUCGAGCGUCAUUUCACCACUCAAGCCUGGCUUGGUGUUGGGCGACGUCCUCUUUGGGGACGCGCCUCGAAACGCUCGGCGGCGUGGCACCGGCUUUAAGCGUAGCAGAAUCUUUCGCUUUGGAAGUCGGGGCCCCGUCUGCCGGAAGACCUGCUCGCAAGGUUGACCUCGGAUCAGGCAGGGAUACCCGCUGAACUUAAGCAUAUCAAUAAGCGGAGGA